UACAGAGGGUGCGAGCGUUGUUCGGAAUUACUGGGCGUAAAGCGCGCGCAGGCGGCUUCUUAAGUCUGACGGUGAAAUGCCGGGGCUCAACCCCGUGCCCGCCGCGGAUACUGGGGAGCUGGAGACAUGUAGAGGCAAGCGGAAUUCCGGGUGUAGCGGUGGAAUGCGUAGAGAUCCGGAAGAACACCGGAGGCGAAGGCGGCUUGCUGGGCAUGGUCUGACGCUGAGGCGCGAAAGCGUGGGGAGCGAACAGGA
Molecule: ribosomal RNA, 255 nt
Filed under: uncultured prokaryote
Description: partial 16S ribosomal RNA
Rfam family: Bacterial small subunit ribosomal RNA
Source: RNAcentral